GAUGAACGCUAGCGGCAGGCUUAACACAUGCAAGUCGAGGGGUAUUGGUUUUCGGACCAAGAGACCGGCGCACGGGUGCGUAACGCGUAUGCAAUCUACCUUUUACAGAGGGAUAGCCCAGAGAAAUUUGGAUUAAUACCUCAUAGUAUGCAGAGUUGGCAUCAACAUUGCAUUAAAGUCACAACGGUAAAAGAUGAGCAUGCGUCCCAUUAGCUAGUUGGUAAGGUAACGGCUUACCAAGGCAACGAUGGGUAGGGGUCCUGAGAGGGA
Molecule: ribosomal RNA, 270 nt
Filed under: uncultured bacterium
Lineage: Bacteria
Description: partial 16S ribosomal RNA
Rfam family: Bacterial small subunit ribosomal RNA
Source: RNAcentral